AUCCUGGCUCAGGAUGAACGCUAGCUACAGGCUUAACACAUGCAAGUCGAGGGGAAACGAUAUUGGAAGCUUGCUUCCGAUAGGCGUCGACCGGCGCACGGGUGAGUAACGCGUAUCCAACCUGCCCAUCACUUGGGGAUAACCUUGCGAAAGUAAGACUAAUACCCAAUGACGUCUCUAGAAGACAUCUGAAAGAGAUUAAAGAUUUAUCGGUGAUGGAUGGGGAUGCGUCUGAUUAGCUUGUUGGCGGGGUAACGGCCCACCAAGGCGACGAUCAGUAGGGGUUCUGAGAGGAAGGUCCCCCACAUUGGAACUGAGACACGGUCCAAACUCCUACGGGAGGCAGCAGUGAGGAAUAUUGGUCAAUGGGCGAGAGCCUGAACCAGCCAAGUAGCGUGCAGGAUGACGGCCCUAUGGGUUGUAAACUGCUUUUAUAAGGGAAUAAAGUGGGAGUCGUGACUCUUUUUGCAUGUACCUUAUGAAUAAGGACCGGCUAAUUCCGUG
Molecule: ribosomal RNA, 504 nt
Filed under: uncultured bacterium
Lineage: Bacteria
Description: bacterial SSU rRNA
Rfam family: Bacterial small subunit ribosomal RNA
Source: RNAcentral